RNAcentral lists this ribosomal RNA (460 nucleotides) under uncultured bacterium. RNAcentral's name for it is "partial 16S ribosomal RNA". It matches the Rfam family "Bacterial small subunit ribosomal RNA", at positions 338 to 795 of the family's 1533-position model. The record is from RNAcentral.
CCUACGGGUGGCAGCAGUGAGGAAUAUUGGUCAAUGGACGAGAGUCUGAACCAGCCAAGUAGCGUGAAGGAUGACUGCCCUAUGGGUUGUAAACUUCUUUUAUAAAGGAAUAAAACGAGGCACGUGUGCCCUUUUGCAUGUACUUUAUGAAUAAGGAUCGACUAACUCCGUGCCAGCAGCCGCGGUAAUACGGAGGAUCCGAGCGUUUUCCGGAUUUAUUGGGUUUAAAGGGAGCGUAGAUGGGUUGUUAAGUCAGUUGUGAAAGUUUGGGGCUCAACCGUAAAAUUGCAAUUGAUACUGGCAGUCUUGAGUACAGUUGAGGUAGGCGGAAUUCGUGGUGUAGCGGUGAAAUGCUUAGAUAUCACGAAGAACCCCGAUUGCGAAGGCAGCUUACUAAACUGUGACUGACAUUGAUGCUCGAAAGUGUGGGUAUCAAACAGGAUUAGAUACCCCAGUAGUC